Molecule: unclassified non-coding RNA, 350 nt
Filed under: soil metagenome
Description: partial contains 5.8S ribosomal RNA, internal transcribed spacer 2, and large subunit ribosomal RNA
Rfam family: 5.8S ribosomal RNA (bases 1-120)
Source: RNAcentral
GAUGAAGAACGUAGCGAACUGCGAUAAGUAAUGUGAAUUGCAGAAUUCAGUGAAUCAUCGAGUCUUUGAACGCACAUUGCGCCCCCUGGCAUUCCGGGGGGCAUGCCUGUCCGAGCGUCAUUGCUGCCCUUCAAGCCCGGCUUGUGUGUUGGGUCGUCGUCCCCCCCGGGGGACGGGCCCGAAAGGCAGCGGCGGCACCGCGUCCGGUCCUCGAGCGUAUGGGGCUUUGUCACCCGCUCGAUUAGGGCCGGCCGGGCGCCAGCCGGCGUCUCCAACCUUCUAUUUUACCAGGUUGACCUCGGAUCAGGUAGGGAUACCCGCUGAACUUAAGCACAUCAAUAAGCGGAGGA